Molecule: long non-coding RNA, 6785 nt
Organism: Equus caballus (horse)
Lineage: Eukaryota; Metazoa; Chordata; Mammalia; Perissodactyla; Equidae
Source: Ensembl
CUGCCUUUGGCCCACCUGCCAUCUGCAAGUCAUUUCCUGCCCGCAGCCGGAGGCUCACCUCUCGUUAACAAGAAGCCGAGGGGGCAGCCAGGCUGCAGGGCAGAUCCUGGGGGGGACCGGCAGAGCUGGGCACAGCGGAGGGGCUCGGCCAGAGGCUGGCGCUUUGUCUCCAUCGGACUUUAAUGCCACCUCACCUUGGGCAGAGGGAAUGUGGUUAAGUCAACACUGUGGACGGGCCUCUAACCAACCCUAAAGAAGCUGUGUGCGGACGCUGGCAGCCUUGGGCACUGAUAAAGGUAGAGUGUCCGUGCGCACUCUCAUCCACUUGAACUCACGGCAGGCCCAGCGGGCCAGGCCUCCGGGUCACCACACAUGUAUAAAAAGGGAAACUGAGGCUCCAGGGCUCCUGAUGAUGCUAACAGACACAGCCAGGUAAUCCCCUCUCCCGCUCCUUCCACAUUCAGGGCAAUCUCGUUAAGAUGCUUUUCCUUCCCAGAGCGUUUACCUGGGCACCACGUGUUCAUCGUGCAAGUUACGGACAACGCAGGAUCAGGCUGAGGCUGCGACGGGCCUGAAACGGGCCCCUCGCCGGCCUCCUCCCCGACCUGUCCUGUCCCGCUCCCCCACUCCCAGGCCAGCCCUGCCAGGAGCACCUCGGUGUCGCCAGCCCAUGAAGGCUGACAGUUGCCUGUCACCUUGGGGACGUGCUUUUGGGGACUCUGACCUAACACACGUGUGUUUGAGGAUUUUCCGCCGGCGUCUAGUAUAGUGAGCACAUAACUGAGUUAGAAAUGUAUCCACUGAACGAGUUCACUGAUUCAUUAAUUUACUAGACAUCUACUGAGCGCACUCUGUGGGUGGUACCCCAGCAGCGAUGGACGCACCGCGUCCGUGCACGUGCAUCUGUGUGUUUCUGUGCCUGUCCAUGGUUGUCUGUGUGCGGCUUGGUGUAUAAGUCCAUGUGUUCCCCUGUGUAUGUGCUCGAUAUGUUUCUACGUGAGGAGCAGGCGACGGGCCACACAGGUGGUCGGUGGCAGGACUGGGCCCUAAGCGCAGGUGGGCCUGACCCGCUUUCCCCAUCACCAGGCAGCUAAUACAGGUGAGCUGUGGCCUGGGUGCACCGUGGCACCAGGUGGUCCCCCAGGACAAGCCCUGCUCACAGCAGCCUCGACCCUGAAAGCCGUGUGGGCAUCCAAGGGCCCGGGGCCAGCCGGUGGGUUUUACUAAAGUACCCCCCGCCGAACAACACAACUUUGCGUGGAGCGCAGCUGCCAGGACCAGCCCCAGGUGGGAGAGCCUGGGCGAGGUGGGGCAUCCGGGCGAGCAAAGAGAGGGGCUGUUUCCAACCCUGCUUGCUGUUCACUAACACACUGGCCUUGGGCACCUGCAAGAAUCUUCUAGAGCCUCAAUCUCCUCACUUAAGAGAUGGAGACAGAGCACUUCCAACAUUUAGACAGCAUCCCAGACACCGGUGAGUUACCGUAUUUCUUCAAUACGGGAUGGGAUGCCCCCAUUGCAAGGCGCCGUGUCAACCUGCGCCACCGAGAAAGAAAACACGAACCCAUCGCAUAGGACACGGCGCUUGCUUCUCAUUUCGGGUUUUAUUUGAUUCUUACUGAAAGAGCUCCUUUUGACUUGUUUAGAUAUAGAUUUUUACUGUAUAACACUCUUGGGCAGACACAAAAAGGAAGAUACAAAUGAAAAGAACAGGUUACAGGAUGUCACAGACGUAGUCCCUUUCAGAGUCCGGCUCUCGGAAUCACUGCUGGGCUCAGAGGGCGAAUUCCCGUUCUCUCCAUGGCUAAAGCCGGAGGGUCAUCAACUGCUUCCCAAUUACCGUAUUUUAUCAAAUACAAGAGGCCGUUGCUGGAAAGCUGCAUCCUGACCUCAGAGAUGUUAAAAUGGGGAGGAGAGGGGGACAGACGUGUUUCUUAGACUUGACAAAAAAAAAAAGAGAGAGAAAGUAGCCUUGACGGCGACUCUUGCAUGAUCUGUCUCCCCCUUCAAACUCUCUGCACUACCACCCAAUUUUCUUCUCAGCUCUCUGCGCCCGGGCUACGAGUUCCGAUGCUGGCACUUUGGAUGUUUGACAGCACAGGCUGUGACAACGACGCCGGGACUGCCAGCCAUGGGACCGUGACGUGAAAUUUGCAAACCAGUUCAGAGAUGUUAAGAAUGUGAAAACGCAAAUGUGCAUCUCAGGAUGGAGGAAACAUGGCAGGUGACUCCUGAGGGGGAAGGAAGGCUGAGAGUUGAAAAUAAAAAGCGCGCUCCUCCAGCUCAGAGCUGGGGUUGAGCAAGGCUUCUUGCUCCCAGGCUGCUGGCCGAGAACCUGGGCUAGCCCAGGCUAGCCUGGGCCAAGCGAGAAUGGACCGUGGAGAUAGCUGAUCCAAAGGGUCGCUUUGAAAGAAAUAGAAACCACCGUGAAAUUGGUGGUCCAGGGUUUGCUCGCUCUCUGAUGAAAGGGGAUCACCUCCACGUGAAAUCUCUUUGUCCAGAAGUGAAGGAAGCGAGGGGAAGUGAGCCCCAGCCGGUCCCAGCAGUGGUCACAUGUCUCUCAUUGCUUGGGGACAAGAUGUAUGGUGCUGACACGGAACCAGCAGGAUAGUUUCAAGCGUUUACCAGUUACUGCCUGGUGGGGGGUCCUCAUCAGCCAUCCAGUAUGGGGGGCGGGGGCUGAGCCCUGGACAACCAGCCAGUCCCAUGCCACCCCCGUCACCAUUCCGGAGCCACCCUCUUCUUCCAGAGCCCCCGGAUGGAAACCGCUCAGGCCUGAAGAGCCUCCUGGGGUCCUGGCUUCUGUUUUCUGGAAGGCAGGCUGCUGUCUGGAAUUCUGGCCCCCAUCUCCUCCGUCAGAGGCACACAGGGCUGGGGACAAUCCAGAACACCUGAAGGGACUGCCAUGCUCUGCACAGGCCCGUACACCAUGGCCAGGGCCACUGCGAGCUCACAGCUGGGUUUCAGCCCCUAUCACCCCGCCAGGCAUCUUUGCUCAGUGCACUAACUACACGGCUGUAGGAGUAGAGAAGUAGCCCUGGUCAUCAGAUGGUUUCUCUCCUCCUUCCCGGACCAGGACACCGCAGGCGCUGGGCCUCCCAGUCCAGGGAAGGUGUUUGGGGGUCGAAGUGGGGGAGGGGGCUGUGAGCUUCCUGGCUCAGCUUCUCAAAGUCUCAACCCCAUGAGGAAGGCAGAGCUGGAGCCCAGUGAUGGGCCAGCAGGAGAGGAAUGGGGCUUCCUCCCAUAAGAAAAGGAGCCAAAGGCCACCUCAGGGCCAUCGAGCUGCACAACCCUGGAGGUGCCAUUCCCAUCACCUUCACUGCACUCCUCAGCUAGGGCUGUUUCUCUCUAGCCAAAGAAAUGACACUCUAACUGUGAAAUUUCAGGCCAAGAAGGAAAGUAUUUUUUGUGUGUACAAAGUGGGGGGGCAGACCCUUCUCUGAGCCCUUUAAUUAAUUAAUUAGUAUUUAUUAAUUUAUUGUUUUAUUAAAUUACUAAGUAAUACCAACCCAUUUUAUUAAUCUAUUAAGUUAGUAUGAAGCAUUGUAUUUUAAUAUAAAUCUGUUGUCAAUUUACUAAUUAUUAUUUGAUUAAUAGCCACCUUUCUGCCAUCAAGCAGUCCUAGAUCUGGCCCCUUGGCCAGCUGGAGCUCCAGGAUGGUUGCAUGUCUCCUGCGUCUGGGCUGAAGGCAGUGUAUCGGUCAGGACGGGAUGCACUGGGCUUGGUAACAAAAAAAACCCCAGUCCGGUGGCUGAAGACAAUGAUUUGCUCCUUGCUCCUUCCCCACGUCCCCUGCAGGUGAGCAGGGAGGUCUGCUCAUCACAGAUGCUCAGGGACCCCAGUGAGAGGAGCAGCAAGCUGCCUUCUCGACUGGCUCCCGGCCCCAUCCCGGAGUGCCUCAUGGUGGCCUCAGUGAAGCACUCAGCCUGGCAGUGGCGCAUCUCUGCGGCUCACAGCUCUCGGGCUGGCUAUCUGGAGGAGGACUGCCAUGCAUGUGCCCCCGACAAGGGGGGUGAGAGUGCACCCCAUCCGCUGCCCACACACGGGCGCUCACGUCCACCGCAGACGCCUUCUGGUGGCGGCCAUGCCUGCAGGCAUCAGGCGGCGGGGGAGCCAGCAGUGAAGGAGGCAGACUCAGGCACGACGGUCCAGCCGGGCAGACAGACAGUGGACCAGUGUGGCAGAAUGAAUGACCUUAUCAUGUCCAUGGCGAAGGCCGCAAAGGAGGAAGGCAGGGUGCCGGGGCAUCGACAGGGCACUUGAACCUCACAGGGGUGUUUGGGAGGCUCCCUCAGGCCUGGGCUGACGUUUGGGAUGAAACCUACAGGGUGGCUGGGCGUUCUCUGAGAGGCGGGCAGGGUGGGUGCAAAUCCCUGUGGCCUUGGGGAGCGUCGUCUCUUCCAGGAACGGUGAAAAAGCCAUCGUUGCUGGAGCAGAGAGCACGGAGUGGGACAUGCAGCUGCAAAGUCAGUGGCCGGAUCCUUCACGGUCGCGUGAGCCGGGCUUAUGACCCUGGCCUGUGUCCUCAGGGCCCUAGGGAGCCAUGGAGGGUCUGCAGGCGGGAGUGGGGAUGCCGGGUUGAACGGCGCCCUCUGGUGGCCGUGCGGGGCGUGGCCUCUUCAAUGCGCCCAUCCCGGCCUCUGUUCUAAGGCUUCCUCGGGGUGCCCCGAGCUGCCGGCCUUCUGAGACUCCCCACCACGUUAAUGCUGGUGGACACAGCUCGCAGGGCCAGCCUCCCAGAUGGCAUGCCACCAAGCCACGCUCUCCAGGAGACGCCAGACGGACAGGCCAGCGCUGCGUGGAGCAGACCCAGACAGCACAGACAGCCAGCCAGCUGGGGAGCAGAGAUGGAAUGAUGGCAGCCCAAAUGCUCCGCAUUUCUGAAGGCAGAUAAACCCCAACCAGCCAGAAGGAGGGCGCCUGGCGGCUGCCGCCCAGACUCACAUGUCUGUGGCCUGUUUCUGCUCAAAACUGCAAUUGCUUAUCACAGGUCGCAGGCGAGCUAUUAGUCACGGCUCCUCAAAGCACAGCCUCCAGCCGGAGACUUCUAUCGGCGGUUUUUCUUCUUUAUUUUCUUCUUCAUUGCAGACGGGAUGAAUUGAGCCAACUGAACUUUCUGGAAAGAGAGAUGUUUUUCCUCCUUCAUUUUCAGAAAGUAAUACGCGUGCCCAGGAUGACAGUGCCAAGGGGUGGUCACGGACUCGAGUCUUCCUCUCACCCCCGAACCCCCAUUUUCCUUCCCAAUUGCCAGUAUCUUCCAUCCUUCCAGGGAGACCAGGCACGGUGGCAGCAACCACAAAUCCACCGAUUUCUACAAAAGUGUGGCUCCCGUGAAUAUGCUCUGUUCCUCACCGACUGCUGGCUUUACUCUGUAGGAGAGGGAUACUGUGAAAUAGCUCGGUCGUUUUGGGGUUCCCACAUCAGCGUCCCUUCUGCUGUCACAACCAGGCCACGAAAUGUGGCUUAUUGCUCAGCGGGGAGGAGAACAGGUACAAAGGGUAAACACUCGGCUUAGAGCAUCGAAAUAACUUUCUUGAGGUUUUUUUUAAGUCCCGGGUGAGACAGUGGUCUUGCAAGCUGGGCUUUCAAGUGUGAGUAAAGGUUCCCGUAAUUCCCAGAGCUGGAUGUUCUCUCUCGAAGAGCCACCCAUGGAGGACUGACCUCGGCGUGAAUCCAAGGGGAGGAUGCAAGACGCAGCCGAGGGAGGAGAAAAGCACGGGAGAGGAAGAGCCAGGGAGGGGGCGACGGAGAGAGAUGAAAGCCUGGCUGCAGCCCUCCGGGUAGAGAGGUGGAGACCCCAGGCAGCCCUUCCCCACUGCCUUAAGGGGCCGAGAACCUCCCCGUGGGUCCACGUGGCAAUCGGGGUCCAGGCCAGGAAACAGGCGCCCCUCUGAGCAUUUCAACGGAAGGAAUUGAAGGCAGGGAGUUGGUUCUGCAGUCCAGAGAGUGGCUGGGAAGCUUAACAGAGCUGGGGGUGACCUUGAGCUCAGCAACUGCAGGAAGCUGCCCCCAGUUCUGCAAGUGAGCGGACAGGAGGAGGACGUGCAGGACCCAGGGUCAGGGAGGAUUCCAGAACACGGAGGCCUGGCUGGAGGAAGCUGGGACCAUGGAGGAGACAAGAGGCCACCAGAGAGGUAGCCCGAAGGGGAGGAGGGAGCACCUGGCUUCUCCUCCAGUGCCUCCCAUUGGCUUCACUUGGCCGAUCCAGGCACCUGGGAAACGCAGCUGUUGGGGAUCCUGUGAUAAAGAGAAAGGGAAGGGCUGGGGGGGAUCUGAAGGCAAAGAGGCCCAGGACCCAUAGCUCAGCCCCCUUCCAACAUGGUCCUGAAUGGUGGAAUACAAACGGCGGAGGGCAGGGCCCGGGGAAGGGGCCUAAGAGAACACCCUGCUUCCUGUGGAUUGUGUGUGGCCCGUGGCUUCUGAGAAGUUCCGUGUGCCCCCAUGGGGGAUGUGGGGUCUGGCUGAGGGGCGAGGUCGGUGAGCUCAUGGGAGGAGGGGGUCACCACUCUAAGGAGCAAAGUGACCCUGAUGGAGAACGGCAGGACAGCCACGCUGGAGAGCCAUCAACAUAAUAUCUGGACUCGAAAAGGUCCACAACCCAACGAAUGUGAUGCAUGUGACAGAACACCAACGUGGCCCCAAGGGCGACAGAGCCUGAGGAGAGUGUUGAUCGAAUGGUUUUGUGAAAUGUGAGAGUAGAAAACAGCCAUAUUUCUAAGGAAAUAUCUAAUAUGAUUUUAAAUAUGUAUGUGUAAAUUUAUAAUUAAAUAUAAUUUUUUAAGAAACAG